RNAcentral lists this long non-coding RNA (1397 nucleotides) under Homo sapiens (human). RNAcentral's name for it is "PCBP1 antisense RNA 1". The record is from RNAcentral. Lineage: Eukaryota; Metazoa; Chordata; Mammalia; Primates; Hominidae.
CUCUUCCGGGGGGGAGGGGCGGCGAGGCGAGGCCUGCGGAGCGGAGGAAGACAAACAUAAAGAUGAAGUGCUUAAUUCAAGGUCACACAAUGUCGGGGAUGGACCUCCAGAUUUCCUUACUGGUGAGACGUGGUCUUGUAACACAGUGGUUAAGAAUGUGACUUUGGAGCCAGCCUGCUAGGGGCUGAAUUCUGACUCAGCCAUUUACUAACUGUGUGACCUUAGGCUGGAGUGCAAUGGCAUGAUCUCGGCUCAUCACAACCUCUGCUUCCUGGGUUCAAGCGAUUCUCCUGCCUCAGCCUCCCGAGUACCUGGGACUACAGGCACUCGCCACCAUGCCCGGCUGAUUUUUGUAUUUUUAAUAGAGAUGGUUUCACUAUGUUGGCCAGGCUGGUCUCGAACUCCUGACCUUGUGAUCUGCCCACCUCAGCCUCGAAAAGUGCUGGGAUUACAGGCGUGAGCCACUGCGCCCAGCCUUGUAUUUUUUUUCAGUUUGGGUAGCUGUCCCUAAUUCAUUUGUUAAAGGAGAAGCAAGAGCAAGAACCUUUAAUCUGUUCUCCUCUUCCCUAAUUUGAAAGUAGCUUGUUAUUUUGAAUAUCACUUUCUCUGAAAUAGCACAUCUCCAUCUCAGAGAAUGGAUUUAAUGUUUGGAUACAGCCAAAAGUCAUUUCAUUACCAAACCAUGGGGUGAAUAUACCAUGUAAAGCAGUUUGGGAUCAGAACUCACAGUCUGAAUUGUAAGUGAUGAGACUGCUGUCUCUCUGCUACAGCUUCUUGGCUGGCUCUGAAGGCUCUUUGAAGGCAGAUCCUAACAAGGGGACUGCUUUGAAGGGCCAUUGUUCAUUUGGAAUGAUAAAGUCUAUGUUGUUCAAAAAACAAAUGCUUGUAGCAGGUAUUUUUUCACUCCAGACUGAGAAUAUUGGUGGGAUAUUGAUAAGGGGUACUGAAUGGUAAUAAACAUGUGCUCUAGCUCUGUGCUAGUCAGCUUAUUUCAGAACUCUAGUUUGAUUCAGUUUCUUGCCUCUGACUCAAAAUGGAGGGAGAGUGAUUUUUACAUAAGAGAACACACCCACAUAUCCUUUUGGCAGCAGCUACCUGCCAGAGAUGUUGAAGAAGAGUAGCCAACCUUUACACAGCAGAUAUUGUGUGCCAGUCAUAGUCCUAAGUAUAAUACCUUACAUGUAUAAACUUCUUAUAAGGUUGGUGCUCUGUACCGAAUUGAAUAGUAUCCCCCAAAAUUCAUGUUGUCCCAGAACCUAUGAAAGUGAUCUUACUUGAGGGAGGGGGGAGGGGGGAGGGAUAGCAUUAGGAGAUAUACCUAAUGCUAAAUGACGAGUUAAUGGGUGUAGCACACCAGCAUGGCACAUGUAUACAUAUGUAACUAACCUGCACAUUGU